AGAAGGGUGGGGAGACGGAAUACGUGCGCUACCACUGCAAUCCUGGCUUAGUCGCUGGUUCGCUCUUCGCCACUGACGACGUACGCAGUUCUUUCUCUUUCUCCGAAUCAAUCUCACCCUUAUUCUUCUCGAUCACCGGGGCUUUGACCACACCUUCACAAAAUGCCAGCUGACAGCUAUCUAAAAGCCGAUCCCGAGCUUAAGAAGGAGUUGGCCGAAAUUGCCGCUAAGAUUGUCGCACCGGGCAAAGGUAUCCUUGCCGCUGACGAGUCGACCACCACCAUCGGCAAGCGUCUCAAGGAUAUUAACGUCGAGAACAACGAGGAGAACCGCAAGGCUUACAGGCAGCUCCUCUUCACCGCUAACAAGGAGCUGAUCAGCAACCAUAUCUCCGGUGUGAUCCUCUUCCACGAAACCCUCUACCAGAAAGCCGAUGAUGGAACUGCGUUCGUCGACCUGAUGAAGGAACGCGAUAUAAUUCCCGGAAUCAAGGUCGACAAGGGCGUCGUGCCGUUGUUCGGCACCGACGACGAGUGCACCACUCAGGGGCUCGAUGAUCUCCAGGCACGUUGCAUCCAAUACAAGAAGGAUGGUUGCCACUUCGCCAAGUGGCGUUGCGUUCUCAAGAUCAAGCCUGGAUGCCCAUCCAAACUGGCCAUCCUCGAGAACGCCAAUGUACUCGCUCGUUACGCUUCAAUUUGCCAGAGCGCCAGGAUAGUACCCAUCGUUGAGCCUGAAAUUCUUCCUGAUGGUGAUCAUGAUCUCAAGAGGUGUCAGGAAGUCACCGAAGAAGUUCUCGCUGCCGUUUACAAGGCAUUGGCCGAUCACCACGUCUACCUCGAGGGAACUCUGUUGAAGCCUAACAUGGUCACACCCGGUCAGAGUUGCCCGAAAAAGGCAACGCCCCAGGAGAUCGCCGCUGCUACCGUGACCGCUCUUCAACGCACAGUGCCACCAGCAGUGACUGGUGUCACAUUCCUUAGCGGUGGUCAGUCCGAGGAGGAAGCAUCGGUCAAUCUCGAUGCCAUCAAUAAGUUCCCAGGAAAAAAGCCAUGGGCACUCACUUUCAGCUACGGACGUGCUCUUCAAGCUUCCGUUCUCCGCGCCUGGGGUGGCAAGAAAGACCAAGUCGCUGCUGCUCAAGAGGAACUCAUUAAACGAGCGAAGGCCAAUGGCGCAGCCUGUCAAGGCAAGUACGUUGCUGGCAGCAUCAAGAGUUUGGCUGGCACCACUUCGCUUCACGUGGCAGCCCACAAAUACUAAAAACAAUAUCUUUCUAUAUCUGUCGCAUUGUCUCGCACUCUGCUAACCUUUUAUUUUUAAUGCAGCAAACAGCGAGUCGGCCCUUGGAAAAUACGCUGGUGGUGUGAAAGGUGCAGCUGGCGAUGCCGCGCUUUUCGUCGCCAACCACGCUUAUUAAAUUCGCAGUCUACAAAACAGUAUGUCCAAAGAAUAAAAAAAAACACAAGAUUUAAAAUCGCACGUUAACAACUAAUAAAAAACAAGAUAGUACCGAAGUUCAGUUUAUAACCACGUGAUAUGAGAGUGAGUGGCAACGAAUUGAGUGUUGAUAUAUAAAGACAAAAAAUUACGCAGUUGCACAAAAAGCAAAGGGGCAGAAAACAAGAGUGUGAAUGAAAAAAUUAUUAUUAAUCUUAUGUUGUAUUUUAUCACUAUACACGCUAAGCGAAUGAAAAAAAAAAUGGUUUUUAUUGGUAGUCUCGAGUGACAUGCUUGCUUAUCCAAUUUCUUUUAACUUCCCUUCGUUUGAUAUUAAAAAAUGCUACGAGGAAUGUCCGUUAUUUGAUUGUUUUCGAAGGCUCUCUGCUUUCAAUUUUACGUUUAAGAAUCUUGACCCUGCUUUUUUUUUUCUUUUUUUUUUUAUUAUUUGCAGAUGAGUGUUGGUGCUUAUAUAUACACUAUUAUAUUCAUAUCCCUCGCUCUUGUAUUCAGUGAGAUAACUAUAAAUAUUCAUAUCGAAAUCGUUUUGUUUUUUAUUUCGGAGAUACGAGAACGCGACGGGAAAAUCGUUUUCUGCAAUAUGCGAAUCAUCUUGGUUUCGAAUUCGCCGAUACAAUUCGUAUUUCGGUCAAUUCAUUCCGUGACUGAUUGUUUUCCAACAUAAUUUGUUGUCCCAAAUGUGAGAAUUUGAAAAAUUGCUGUCUUUAGGUGUAUCCUAAUUAUAUAUGAUAAUGCGCUUAUGUUUACGAUUAUAAUGAACCGUAUUAAAAUGGAAGUCUAAAUAAAUGUUGUUGGUUAUAAAAUAGUUGAAAAAAUAAAACAGUUACAUCAUGUUAGAUGAUAAAGUAUAUAUGUAGUAGCUUCAAAAGAAAAAUUUAUUCCGUGAUCAAUUUUAUGGAUGUGUACAAUUCUGAAAGGAAAUUGUAUCAUUCAUUUCAUUUAUGUAAUAUUUUGAUUAUUAAAUACACCGUGGAUGAUACAAAUUAA
This is an RNA transcript of Phymastichus coffea, 2448 nucleotides long. It is a transcript of the gene named fructose-bisphosphate aldolase, with no coding region annotated. The transcript has 6 exons. NCBI's taxonomy places the organism in Eukaryota, Metazoa, Arthropoda, Insecta, Hymenoptera, Eulophidae. The record is from RefSeq and is a predicted model, not a curated record.